CCAAGUCGAUCACUUUGAGUUUCGGGUGGCAAUGUGAGGAUUUUCUUUUCAAAAAGGCUCUCUAAGAGUUUUUGUAUAAAAUAUCAUGUUAGAAUGAAUUUAUUUGUGAAAAGCUUUUUUUAUAAUUACUCAUUCCAUUGCCAUUAGUGGAUGUUCGUUUCAUUAACUUUUUUAUUUAUUUCAAACAGUGGUUUUUAAAUUGGC
This 204-nucleotide long non-coding RNA is filed under the name Prunus persica (peach). RNAcentral describes it as "long non-coding RNA (PPER_LNC000534)". The record is from RNAcentral. Lineage: Eukaryota; Viridiplantae; Streptophyta; Magnoliopsida; Rosales; Rosaceae.